Molecule: non-coding RNA, 36710 nt
Organism: Doryrhamphus excisus (bluestripe pipefish)
Lineage: Eukaryota; Metazoa; Chordata; Actinopteri; Syngnathiformes; Syngnathidae
Source: RefSeq, a predicted model, not a curated record
UAGUGAGCGUGCUUGAUAGAGAGAGAGACGGAGAGCGGCACUAAGCAAGAAAGAUUGAUGCUGAGGCAAGCCGGCGCUGCACACACACACACACACACACACACACUUACUCUCCCCACACACACACACUUUUUCACACUCCUGAGCUGCUUAGCAGGCAGGAAAAACACUUGACUGUUACUGCGGGACAUGAGGACAUUGAAGAAAAGAAUCUGAAGAAGAACAGCCUCAAAGCAACAGUUCUCACAAAAAAGGUAGCAGCAAGGGCAGGCACAAGGGCAAAGUGUAGCCUCUCUCUCCUUCGCUUUUCUUUUUCGGAUGUCCUUCCGACGCCCCCAUGACAGCAGGUGGGAACAGAGGCGCAUUCCGGGGUACGACAUGGCAAGACGAGCAGGGGGCGACGCCUCCCCGAAAAAGAACGUAUCAUUCAACCUUGUGACCGGCUUCUACCGCUACCUGCGCGAUGAGCAGGAGGCUGUGCAGAAACGGACGUUCACCAAAUGGAUCAAUUCCCACUUGGCAAAGCGUAUCCCGCCUCUUGUUGUGAGCGAUCUAUUUGAAGAUAUCAAGGAUGGCGUCAAGCUGCUUGCCUUGCUGGAAGUCCUCUCUGGGCAGAAACUGCCAUGCGAGCAGGGCAAGAAGCUAAAGAGGAUCCACUGGCUUGCAAACAUCGGUACUGCUCUCAACUUCCUCCAGGGGAGGAAGUCUGCCUACAGGGGAUCACCGAUCAAGUUGGUGAACAUCAACUCAACAGAUAUCGUCGAUGGUCGGCCGUCAAUUGUUUUGGGGCUGGUGUGGACCGUCAUUCUCUACUUCCAGAUUGAGGAGCUAACCAGCAGUCUACCAGCAUCCCAGGCCUCACCCAGUAGCUCCUCAUCACUGGACAGCUCCGCCAGCAGCAACGAGGCCACAAGCCCGCCUCUCAAGAAGAAACCCCUCCCACUCCUGCAAGGUGGUGCCAGGAAGGCCCUGCUCAGAUGGGUCCAGGAGACAGCCACUAAACAUGUGGGAAUCGAGGUGAAAGACUUCGGUCCUAGCUGGCGUACAGGUCUAUCCUUCUUUGCCGUCCUCAAUGCCCUCCGGCCUAAUCUGGUGGACAUGGAGCGAGUAAGGAGAAGACCCAACCGGGAAAAUCUGCAGGAAGCCUUCUUAAUAGCUGAGACGCAGUUAGGCAUAGCGCAGCUCCUUGACCCUGAGGACGUGGACGUGGACAAGCCAGACGAGAAAUCCAUCAUGACGUACGUGGCCCAGUUCCUAAAGCAUCAUCCUGAGCGAGAGCAGAGCGCCUCUGAUGGACAAGCGGCGGCAGACGAAGAAGAGGAGGAGGCGUCUGUCACGCAGCAUGGCCUCGCUCCUCGUGAUAUAGAGGAAAUGUUGGAGCGAGAGCAGAGAAAAAGCCUGAGGGAGUUGAAAAUGUGGCUGGACCAGCUGGAAACAGACGCACUACACGCCCAGGAGACUGAGGGCAAUCUCGCUCAGCAGUACCAGUUGUUUAAGAAUCUGCGUGUCCAGCUGGAGAUGAGGAGGAAGCAGGUGGAGGAUUCCUUAAAGUCCACGCAGAAGGAAGGGAUGCUGACUGUGGAUCAGGCUCUGGUUAAGCAAGCUUGGGAAAGGCUCUCUAACAGGCUGCUGGACUGGCAUCUGCUGUUGGACACAUCCCUUCCCGCUCCUCUGGAUGCGCUGGGGGCCUGGCUGCAUCACACCGAAGGAGCUCUGCGGCAAGAGGUCAUCACCCGACAAGAGAAUGAUGAGGCAGCCGUUCAAAGCUCUUUGGAACGACACAAGGACGUCUUGAGGAGCCUUGAAGAGCACCAGCAGGUCUUCCAGAGGAUCCAUAAGGAUAGAAGCAUCGAUGGCGUCCCUGUCCCCCCAGAACAGCUCCAAGAUAUGGCUGAGAGGCUGAACUUUAUGUCGACAUCUUGCAGCAUCCAUCAGGCCAAGAUGGAAUUCCUGGAGACCAAACACCACAUGCAGACUUUUCUCACUGCAGCUGAGUCUAAGCUCAAGUCCUGGAUCAUUAAAUACGGCACACAGGAAUCUGUUGAACUGAUGCUCCGCGAUUAUGUAGUUUUUGUGGAGAAGCAAUAUUUCUUUGAAAAUUACAAGACCUUGUUCCAGUCUCUGAAAUGUGCCGCUGAGGUUUACACCAGCGCUAUCAGCUCAGACGAGGGAGAGAUGUGGGUGUCCUGUUUUGUGCGGGAUGUGGCGGCCCAGUGGAGGAGCCUGUCCAUGGAAGUGCGCAGCGUGAGGAGCAUGCUGGAGGAGGUGCUUUCCAACUGGGACAGGUACACAUCCACGGUGGGCUCCUUCCAAGCCUGGCUGGAGGAUGCGGAGGAAGCCCUGACCCAGCCAGAAAGCACAAAGCAGGAGUUCUUCAGGAAUCUAAGCUCCUGGAUGGAUCAGCACGCCGCCAUGAACGACGCCGGAAAUUUUCUCAUCGAAACGUGCGACGAGAGCGUGUCAUUUGAGUUAAAGCAGCAGCUCCUUCUCUUGAAUGGACGAUGGAGAGAGCUCUUCCUUAAGGUCAAACAGCACACCCGAGCUAAUGAGUUGGAAAAGUGGAGAAAAGACCACCUAAAGGCGAUGUCGUCUUUGAAAGAACUUUUGGACACAGCCGAGGCAAAACUCAGUGCUCCUGUCCACGUGUCUUUCCUCAGCGUUCGAGCCUUUCUGCAGGAUGUAGAGAAUACCAAGCAAAAGGUUGUUGCCAUGGAGACUCAAUAUAAGCUGGCCGGCCGCAGCGCUCAGCUCCUCGCAAAGGAUGCGGCGCACGACGAGGCCACUCGGGUCAUCGCAGCCAUGACAACCGCAAAGAGUCAGUUGAGUCGGGUAAGGGAGCGGUGUCCCAUUUUUGUGAGGGAAUGUCAUGCCCUUCUGCCAUUGUUGGAGGAGAUGGAAAAACACAUCACUGCCUUUUAUCAAGCGCUGGAGCGUGCCAGUCACAUUACUGCCACAGCCAGUGACGCGCGCACACAGAGCCCGACCAUGCGCAGACACGAGUGGCAGGAUUUGUUAAACCAGCAUCAAACCUGUAAGCGAUGUCUGUCGGUGAUAGAGAGGAACCACCACACGGUGCAGAGAGCACUCUCCACCAGCAAGGUGCUCCAACACUUUGACACGAGCCUGCUGGACAAGACAGUUGCUGACGUGCAAGGCUCAGCACAGGCUCUGCUGAAGGAGGUCGGGGAUUGGAGAAGGCAGCAAGAGGCCAACAGCUCUCUCAGGAGGAGGUUCGAGGAAUCCCGCCAAGACCUGGAGAGAGUGCUGAAGAAAGCCCAGGAGUGUUUGGGAGAGAGCGGAGACGCUGAGGAAUUACUCAGGAAGCACACAGAUUUUUUCAGUCAAUUGGACCAGCGCGUGCUGAGCGUAUUCCUGAAGGCAUGUGACGAGUUGACCGACAUCCUACCAGAAGAAGAGCAACAGGGGCUCCAAGAGACAGUCCGCAGGCUACACAAGCAGUGGAAGGACAUCCAGGGUGAGGUACCAUCUCAUCUGCUGCGUCUCAACGUGGAGGUGGAGCAGAGUCGAGUAGAUGACGUGCUACAAGACUGCAGAGCAGAGCUGCACCGAGAAAUCCAGUCCUUAUCGCACACCUCCACCAGUGAGCAUGUGAUCAAAGAGCAUAGGACGUUCUUCAGGGAACGCAAACCUCUAACAUUGUGCGAGAAGAGGAUUAGGAACAUGGAGGAUCUGUGUCAUAAAUUGCCCGACAACGACUCGGCUUACAGGAGGCUAGACUCCACCAGGAGGUCUGUGGACCAGGUUACGGAGCAGAUAAGGAGCACUAGCCUGCAGCUGGAACAGCAUCCUGAUAAGUGGAAAGACUGGAACGAUAGAUUUUGUGAGCUCUCAGGCUGGCUCUCAUCUCAGCGGAGGCUCCUCAAGGAGACGGCAAGAACUUCCACACAUAAGGAGCAAGUUGAAGCUGCCGUGCAGGCAUUGCGAGAGGCGGGAGAAGCUCGGGAAGAGAGCCUCUCGUGGCUUAAGAGUCGUCUUUCUAGCUUGACUGACGUUAGCUCUGAACUGGAGAUACAGAGACAGCAAACAGCCCUGACUAAACUUUCAGCUGACUUCAGGGACCUUUUUUCAUCACUCUGCCAGGGUAGCGGAGAGGGCUCAAACAUGUUCCAGUUUGAGGAGCUCAGGGAGGAGGUGCGUGGUGCUUUGAAAGAGGUACUGAAAGCUGGGAAGGAAGCCGGGGAGCAAAUCAGCAGGAUCCUGGAUGCUGAGGACCUGAGAGAAGCUCAGGACCUGUUCCUUAUACACCAGCAACGCCUAAAACAGCUGCAGGCUCUCAGAAGGGAGGCGGAGCUUCUUGUGUCCCACUCGCAUCAGUUGCAUACAGGAGAGGCGCUAAGUCGCUCUGUGCACGAGCUGGAGGAGCGUGUCAGAGAAGUUGACCGGCAGUUCAGCGCCAAGGAACACAACCUGAAGGCCACUCUGGACUCCUGGCAGAGCUUUGAAAAGGAGCGACAAACAGUUUGGAGUUUUAUUAGGCAGACAAAGACUGAGCUGCGCAAAGAGCUGAUAUUCAACAACUUGGACAGCCUGAAAAGAGAAACGGAUCUCAACAAGGAGCUUUUCCUAAAGGUUGAGGACUGCAGCGUGCGAGCAGACGUGCUCCUGGAGGAUGCAGUGGAUCUCCAGCUGGGUCCGAAGAAUCAAAGUCUGGUUCUGCAGCAGGCCCAGUUGGCCAGAGAAGCCAUCAAGGAGCUUCAAGACCACCUCAGCAAAAAUGUUGUACAUCUAGAAAGGGUGUAUACAUCGUGGGAGCGCUUCAGUGUUGAAUCGGUGAAGUUCUCCUCAUGGAUCAAUGAAAAUCAGAGGAUGCUGGAGGCCAUCGAGAUCUCCUCACCGUCAGAUCAUUUGGACCAACACAUCAGCACAGUAGAAAGAGUGGCAGAAGGUCUAGAGGAGCAGCGAGCCGCUCUGGUGUACAUGGAGGAGGAUUGCAAGGUCCUGUCCAGAUUGGUGACACCUGGAGAGAGCGGCUGUAUCCGUGCGGACCUCACCCAGAUGAGGCGCUCCUGGGAGGGGCUGAUGGAGAACACAGAGCGGUUAACAGAGCAGCUGAAGCAGAGCUCCACUUACACCGAGAGAUGCAAUGAGAACCUUGAACAGGCCAAGGAAACAAUGAAGCAUCUUAAAGAGAAACUUGACUCUCCGGCUACAUUUUGCUCUUCAUCGUCUGAGACUUCCAAGAACUUGCAGAGUCACAUGGACGUGUCCCAGGCUGUGGAGCAACUGAAGCCCAGACUAAUGGCGUUGUGUUCAGCUGUGAGGAGUCAAGGAGAGGCUACCACAGUGGAGCAAGACGUGCUUGACCUCCAGAAGCUGCAGGAAGAGUUUGUAGCAAAGGCCGCAGAGAAACAAUCUACACUAGAGAGCCUUCUUGCACUGUGGCAAAGAUUUGAAAAGGAGACGAAGUCAAUGAAAAGCUGGCUAGACCAUGGCGAGUCUAUUUGCUGUGCUGACAAUGACUUACUGUCUGCAGACAAGAUGAAGAUAAGGAUGGAGCUCCUGCAUGUGAAGGAAAUGCAGAGUGAGACGCCCUCCAAUGACGCCCUCCUCGAGGGUCUGUUAAAUCUGGCGUUAUGUCUCCGUCCGUCUGCCCCUGAAGCUCCAGUGCAAGAGCUCAGUGAUGAUCUCACACAGCUCCAGAAGCGAUACACUUCACUGAAGAACAACAUGACACACAGAUGCAAGCUGCUGGAGACUCAGUUGUCCCAACUUGAGCUUUUUGACCAGGAACUUCUGACACUGAGCCAAAAGAGUGAACACUUGAGAAGCUCUUUUCAGGUGGAUAUUAUUGAUCUCAACGGUGCCUUCGCAAAACUCAUGGAACAUGAAUCCGAGUUAAAGGAUCAUGCAUCACUUCGAGAAGCUCUCCAACAAAGAGAAUCCUCCCUGCUUGACUGCUCUACUCCCGAGGCCCAGCAGCAGCUCCAGGCCCGGAGAGAGGACUGCCUCCAACCUCUCAGUGAAGCUGAAUGUCUGCUGUGUCUGCGAAAAGCAUGUCUGAAUGAAUUAGAGUCCUUCCUGGAGAAGAACAAAGCAGCAGCUCAGGAUGUCGACUGGAUUCAUGAAGCCCUGCAGAGGGGGGGCACCUGGACUCGAUCAAAAACCGUAGAGCUCCAUGGCCUUACAGGGAAAGUUGCAAAAGAUGUGGCCCAGCUUGAGAGCGAGGCAGUGGGGUUGGAUGGGAUGCUGACCAAGGCCCACCUUCACUUGUGUGCCUCAGAGGAGCAUAGCUUAGCGGGAAGAACCAAGGGAAGAACCUCUUGCAGCGGGCUAGUUGUUGCCCUCGUCUCAUCCCUGGAGGAAGCUCAGUCGGGUUUGGGAUGGAGGCUCAGUGAAGCAGACGCUCUUGGAGACAUGUGGAGGUCUUUCACGGGAAAGAAGGUGGAGGUGAUGAAACAUUUUGAGAAAAUGGAGGAUGAAACAAGGCAGGUGGCGGUCAGUGAGUGCUCAGUGCAAGCAUUUCAAAGCAGGCUGCGCUCCUUGACCCAACUAGAGGAGGAGCUCCAUUCCUUCCAACAGUGCCAGCAGUGGUUAGAGGAGAGGGGAAGCCAGCUUGCCCAGAGAGACACUGAGCUGGCAGAGGAGGCUCUGAAGGAGCUUAAACUGGUGAAGGCGGCCUGGGACAAUGUCAAGUCUCUCAUUACCAGCAGUCAAAAACAAACUACAGUUGUACUAGAUCUUCUCCGCCAUUACCAUCAGCUGAGGUCUACCCUCUGCGCCACGGUGGAGAAGGCAGAGUCGCUCGCUCACAACCUGCCUGAUCACAACCACAGCGCUCAGGAGGCUAGGAGCUCCUUCACACGGCAUGAGAAGAUGCAAGGAGAGCUGAGAGAAAAGCAGGAGGACAUGGACCAGCUCAUCAGCACGGUGGAGGAUCUGCAGAGAGAAUUGGAUGACAUUCCCAACUGUGACAUGUGCAUCAUCCAGGGAGAGAUGGAGACAUUAAGGGAACAGUGGUUGGGGGUAUCAGAGAGAAUUCAAACUAAUACGGAAAGAUUGAGCUGCUGUAUGACCCUAUGGGAUGACCUCAAGCUCAUGGAGCAGGAUAUCUGCCAAUGGACUAUCACCUCCAUUGCUGAACUCAGUGUUACCAAUCUGAACGACAAGGAGACGGAAACUCGCCUCAUUACCUUUCAGGCUGAUAUGGAGAAAAGGGAGCACUCGCUGGAUGCUCUCCAGGAGAGAGUGGAAGACCUAAAGUACCGAGCUAAACUGGAGGAAACGCCCCUACAGAUGCAGGUCCUGGAGUCUGACUUGAGGAAAAAGUUGGCCCAUGUGCAGGAGAUGCAUGACCAAGCCAAACACAGCCUGACCUACUUCACUUUCCAGAAGCAGCGACUUGAGGACCUCAUGUCACUGAUGACUGAGCGCCUUGAUAAAAUGGAAGGUUCCUUGUCGGGCCUCCCUGAGACCGCCUCCCCUGAAGCGAUCAGUGCCAUUAAGGGUCUGCAGGAUGUUGUGGAGGAACAGAGGGCAGACAUGGACUCCGCCAGAGAGGCUAUGAGCGCCCUGUGCAGGUCUCAUCCCUCUCAGGAGCUGUCUCGCCUCUCUGCUGACCUCACUGCCGUCGCCAAUCGAACCGAGGUGGUCACCCAGCGUUAUGCUAAGGCCAGGGGCAGCCUGCAGGAUGUGCUGCAGAUCCACUUCAACCAGCUUUUCCAAGGAUUUCACUCCUGGCUGUCUGGAUUGAAGUUGGAGUUGAAAGAAUGUUCAAAUCAGUCUGGAGACGCUGCCGCCCUCGCAGCAAACUUGCAAAGACUGAAGUUGUUAACGGAGCGAGUGUCAGAGGGCGAGGAACGUCUCUCUGGGUUCUGUGAGGAGGCUGAGAGGCUCCACCUCCACCUGCCAAAAGCUGCACAAACACAGCUCCAAGAGCAUCUUUCUUCUUGCCAGAGAGACUGGAGAAGCUUCCUGGACGGCUCUUCUCAGAGCCAACAAGACCUGGAGGAGAGUAUUCAGCUCCUGAAAAGUUUUGAUGACACUGUCAAAAGUGUCAACGAAUGGCUUAAGCAGAUGGAGCUCAUCCUCAGCAGGGAGUCUCUUACUGGAGAAGAUGGCCAACAACGUGCCCCUGAUACCAGAGAGGAACUGGAGAGGAUGGAAAACCUCCAUAAGGAGCUUUUAGAUAGACUGGACUCAAUUGAUGGUGUCGUCCUGGAGGCACAGUCCUUGUCCGAAGCGGGACGUGGCUCCGGUGGAGAAGUCCAAGUAGCGGGCCGGCUCCAGAUGGAGUACCAAGCCCUGUUGAAAGUUGCCAGGGAGAGGCUGCGAGGCUGUCAAGAGAACCGAGCCUUUGGGGAGACCCUACAAGCGGUGUGGGCCUGGUUAGAGGAGAUCCAGGAGAAACUGGGUACAGUUGAUAGCACCAUGGGCACCAAAGAGCAGUUGGAGCAGAGGCUGGAGACUGUACAGGAUAUCCUGCUUUUGAAGGGGGAGGGAGAGGUCAAACUGAAUAUGGCAAUAGGUAAGGGCGAAAUGGCCCUGCGCAGCUACGGAUCCACUGGACAGGAAGUGGUGCGCUCUCAGCUCCAGGAGUUGGAGGAUGCUUGGGCCACGCUGCUUGUGACCGCCAUGAGCUGCCACAGCCGUCUCGAGUGGACCGUCUCACAGUGGAGUGGUUACCUGGAAAAUGCGGCCCAACUCCGUGGCUGGAUGGAGGCUGUGGAGCGGGAGGUAGGGGCAUCCCUGACCCCUCAACCGGGACCCAGAGAGAAGGCCUCGCAGCUGGAGAGGCUCCGAUCCCUGCUGGCCGACCUGGAGGACCACCAGAUGGCUUUAUCCAGUCUGGAGGAAAAAGCCCGAGAACUUUUCAAGAAGACCGGGGAUGCCAGUUUUAACCAUGGUGCUCGAACGCAGUUGCAGGUGCACUUCGACGAGCUGGCAGCUUUAGUCGAGGCGCGGGUUCAUCGAGCACAGAGCGUGGUGCUGGAACACCAGGAAUACCUGGAGGCUAUCCGGGAGCUCACUGAUUGGCUGAUGACCGCGGGAGAGGAGCUUCAGCAUUGGUCGGACACAUCUGGAGACUCCGCCUCCAUCAUGAAGAGACUCCUUGAAGUGAGGGAGCGUGUGGAGUGUGAACUCCUGGAGGGUCGGGAGCGCCUCAGCCGUGUGCGUAGGACGGCGGCGUCCGCAGCAGAGCACACGGCCGCAGGAGGCUGCGAGGCCAUGGACCGACAGCUGGGGGCGCUGGCGCAGGCGCUUGAGCAAUGGGAGGGCGCUGCUCUGAGGUCCCGGGACGGGCUGGAGGCCGCUCUCGCCUCUGCUGCCGCCUCGGAGGAGCAAUACGAGGGUCUAACCUGUCGGCUGGAUGCAGAUUUGAAAGCGCUGGAUGGACGGCUGAGGGGGUGGAGCCAGGAUCUGAUUAGAGCCGAGGGGCGGUGCAAUGGCGAGGAAGCAGUGGCGGGAUGGCGGCUGGCCAAGGACAUACUGGAAGGCUUGCAGAGCGCCGAGCCCAUGGCAGAGAAGUUGAAAGGUCAACUGAACGAGCUGGUGCGAUACUCCAGAGACUUGGGCUCCCAGUCUGACCGAGUCACCGCUCUUAUCAAGCAACACAACAGCCUCAGCCUCCGUGCGUCCAGGGAGUGCCAAAAUAAGGAGCGCCUCCUGGAGCAGCGGUUCCGGGCCGCACUCAGAGACUUCCAGCAGUGGUUGGUCAACGCCAAAAUCUGCACCGCCAAAUGUUUCGACGUGCCACAGAGCGUGGCAGAGGCCUCCACCGCUCUGCAAAGAAUACAGGAGUUCCUGAGUGACAGGGAGCACGGCCAGGCCAGGCUGAGUACAGUAGGAGCCAGCGGGGAGCUGCUGAUGGCGGUGGUGUCCAAAGACAGAGUGGAGGGGAUCAAGGCCAAAGUGGCGACCGCCAGGGAGGACUGGAAAAGCCUGAUGAAUAACUUGCAGCUGAGGCAGGAUGCGCUCAAGAGCUUGUAUUGUCAGAUGACAGAGUUUGAAGCCAGCGCACAACCCUUGCAGGUGUGGCUCAACAGCGCCGAGGUCAAAGUUCAGGAAAGCAGUGCUCGACUACACGACCUCUCGGCCAAGAAACAAGAGCUUAGCAAACUACAGAAUGUUCUGGAAGAGAUGUUUAGUCGCGACGCAGAACUGGGCCACCUCAGAGAGAGAGCUCAUCGUCUCUGGGAGGGACAGGCUGCGGGCAAGGGCUUCGUCCAUCGAGUGUCGCAGCUGUCGGCGCAGUACUUGGCUCUCAGCAACCUGACCAAGGACAAGGCCUCCAGGGUUGAGCGUAUCGUAGGGGAGCACCGCCUCUUCUCUCAGGGCCUCGUAGAGCUCCAGGAAUGGGUGUGCAAAGCUCAGAGGAUCCUGGGCACGUGCAUCUCUGCCACUUCUGAUAAAGUUGUGCUGGAGGACCGCAUGUUACAGCUGGAAGCUUUGCUCGCCGCACGUCAAGAGCGGGAGAUCCAACUGAAGAUGCUGCUUACCAGAGGAGAAGCGGUCCAGCGGAACACGUCGGCUGAGGGUGUCCCGGUGAUCCGGAAACAGAUCCAGGACCUGAAGGACUCGUGGGACUCUCUGCUUUCUGCCUCCAUCAAGUGCAAGAGCCAACUGGAGGGUGCCUUGUCGCAGUGGACCAGCUAUCAGGAGGAUGUGGGGCACUUUGUGCUUUGGAUGGACCGCGUUGAGGAAACACUGAGCUGCUCGGACAGACAGUACUCUGAGAUGAGAGACAAGACUGCCAACUUGGGAAAGACUAAGCUUCUGUAUGAGGAAGUGCUGAGUCACAGCUGUCCUCUGGAGACCAUAGCAACAAAGGGAGCCAAUAUGGCGGAACACUGCACCACCCAGCAGGAAGUGAAGCAGCUACAGACCAGAUACACCGCACUCAAAGAAAAAGCCAAGAACGCCGUGAGCAAGGCUAAGGGGCUGGUGCUGAUCCACCAGGACUACCAGCGAGGGCUACAUGUGUUUGAAGAUUGGUUAGAGCAAGAACAGGCCACUCUGGCGUCAUUAUCCCAUCUGGAAGGAGAUGUUGAGACACUUGAGGGAACACUCAAGCAGCUCCAGCUUCUCCAGGAGCACUGCUCAGACGGCCAAUCGCUGCUGUCGUCAGUGCUGACCACCAGAGAGAGGGUCAUCCCAUGGGGUGUACCCCAGAUAGAGGACAGAACCCUUGACACUGUACAAAGGGAGUGGGUGUCUUACCAGGAUCGUUUGGAGGAGACCCAGACCCAGCUGAAGUCCACCUUGACCAGAUUAAAAGAGAUGGGGCAGAAGUUCCUUACUUUAGCUCAGUGGCUUGAGGAGAUGGAGAAAGGGGCUAACUUGAGACCUCAUCGGAGGUCCGAUAGAGGCACCAAAAAGACUCAGCUGUCGAAACUUAAGUCGUGUCUUCAAGCAGUGCUGACACGGCAAGGAGAAGUGGAUGGCCUCUCCUCGCUAUCCCAGCAGAUUUUGGAAGAAGCCUACAUCAGUGGUCAUGUUAGCGUCACGACAAUGCAGCUCACCGCCCGCUACCACUCCCUGCUGCUCAGCAUUCAGGACUCCAUCAAGCAGCUGCAGGAGGAGCUGAAGAGUAUAGAAGAGGCCGAAAACCUUUGCAUGACCUUCACGGAUUGGCUCAGCUCGGCACAGAAAAGCUUCACGGAAGUAACUGACACCUCCGAACCCCUGGACCGCAACACGAUGGACAAGAAGCUGAAGAAACUAGAGACUCUGCAGGCUGAUCUCCAUCACGGUCACAGCUUCCUGAAAUCCCUAAGGGAGACGGCUGAGCGGGCAGCAGGCUUCCUGAACGAGGCCGGAGCAGAGAGCUUAGGAGGGGAGGUGGAAGCCCGUCUUUCCCAGAUGGAGGAGCUCUCGGGCUGGCUCAGGCAAGAACACAGCUUCCUGGAGCGUGCGUCGCUGCUAGCGAAGGAGUUUCAGGACCGCUACAAGGCUCAGGCCCAGUGGCUGGUGGAGACAAAGGCUUUGCUCAGCUCUCCAGUGGAGCCCAAGGCUGAACUAUACCAACGGAGGGCACAGCUUGCCAAGUACAAGGCUCUGCUACAGAUGGUCCAGUCCCAGGAUGGCUCCAUCAGGUCAGUGGUGGAGAAGGGCGACGCUUUGCUGGCAUCUGUCCAUUACCCCUCCGUCAGAGACAAGAUGAACAAGCUGCAAAAGGACUACAGUGACCUGUGCAAUAUGGCCAUGUCCCACGUGGAGCAUCUCAGCGGCCAUGUGAAGGAGCAGGAAGUGUACCACAACAAGCUCCAGGAGGCAGAGCGAUGGCUGCUGCAGAUGUCCAGCAGGAUGGUGACGCCUGACCCCAGCAUGAGCCAAAGUCUGGAGGCGGCCACUCAACAGCUGGCUAGACACAAGGCCAUCAUGGAGGAGAUAGCAGGCUUUGAGGAUCGCUUGGCAGGCUUGAAGCAGCGAGGGGACCACCUGGUGCACGGCUGCGACGAGCGCGUGCAGAGUCGGCUGAGACAGCAGGUCCAGGCUCACCAGCAAGGCACCAGAGACAGCUACUCUGCCAUCUGUAGCACAGCGCAGAGAGUAUAUCAAAGCCUGGACCAUGAGCUCCAGAGACACGUGAAUCUCCAAGACACCCUGCAACAAUGCAAGACUUGGCUGACAUCUGUCUCGGAGCAGCCCGAGCCUCCUGCACAGACCCCUCUGAGCCUGGAGGAGGCGCUACAGCAGGUGAAGCAGGAGCGGGCCCUCCAGGAACAGGCCAGCACUUACCUCCAGCUGGUGUGCUCCUCCUGUGACCUCUCACUCUUAAGAGUGCAGGAGGUGGCUGCCGCUAUCCAGCAGGUCAAACUACAGGUUGAGGAGCGCAUGUUGCUUUGCGAGGAGGUUGUAGAUGGCUGGAAGGACGUUGAGGAGGAAAGGGCACGUUUGGAGGUCCGGCUGAGAGAGACGGAGCAGCAACAUGAGAACCUCAUCAGGUGUCCUGCAGAGCUUGAGCCCAGAAUUGCACAGAAUCAACUAGACAAAGCGCAGGAGUUCCUCCAGCAUGUGAGGGAGAGGCAGUCUGAGGUGAGCCGUCUGAAUGAGACCAUCGUUCGAAUGACGGGGGGACAGGACUGUGCCACUCUGGAAGACAUGAAGAAACUGAGGAGGAGCUGGGUGGAAAUGGGCCAGCGUGCAGAGGAGCUAGAAGCGGAGCGAGGGGAUGACAUGCAGCGAAGCGGCGAGUACCAGGAGAGCGUGGUCGCCGUUGAGGAGCUUUUCCAUCAAGUAUCCAGGGAAUGGGACUACCUCGCCAGGGCUGACACUGAAAGUACAAGUGAACAUCUAGAAGCUCUGAGGAAGUUGUCCAGUGACCUAGUGGAGCAAAAAUCAACCCUAGAAGAUCUACGGGACCAGAAACAAAGUAUCCUACCUCGAAUAAGCCUCCUUGACAAGGAACUGGUCAAACAACAGGUGGGUCACCUGGAGCAACGCUGGUCUCAGCUCGAGACUCUUAUCCAGCACAAGAUAGUGGACUCCACACAAACUUUAGAGGAUCUGACACGGGUGGAAACACAGCUGAGGGACGCCCGCGAGUGGGUGGAAGAGCAGCGACCUGCGCUCACCUCCAGCUUGAAAACCAGCCCCCCACCUGACCUUGCCCAGAGUUUCCUGUUCGACCACUUGAGUGUGUGCGUGGAGCUGGAGGCCCGCCAACAGUUGCUGGGCCGAGCGUUGAGCGAAGCACAAGGUGUCGCCUCCAGGCUGGGGCUGAGCGAGAAGAGAAGUCUGCAGGAGCUUGUUGAACAAGCCCAGACUGAAGUGGAGGCCUUGGAAGCUCAAGUGGCCCAAAGGAGAAAGUACCUCAGCAAGGCCUUCACAGAGAGGACUCAGUUCCUUCAGGGUCUGGGGAGAGCACUGUCGUGGGUACAACAACAAGAGAGGAAGGCCCUGAUAGACGACCAUAUUGCGCUCCUCCCUGAAGACCUCGCGAAACAGGCAUCUGCAUGUCACAGCAUCCAGAGCAGCCUUCGAGCCUACCAGAGGGAGUUGGCAUCUCUUUGGGUUCAAGGUCGGGAGCUGGAAAGGGACGCCACAGAUAAAGAGAGAGCAGAAACCUUGGCAAAACUGGAGGAGCUGCAGUCGGUAUUCGAAGCGUCUCUCCACACUACCAGCAGGCGUGUUACAAUCUUGGACAAAGCCUUCACAUCCAGGAAGUACUUCCAGGUGGACCUGAACAAGACUUGUCACUGGCUGAGACACGCAGAAGCCAUCACUUUCCCGGAAAUCAGUCUCAACGACAUUGAGGAUACCUCAGAACUGCAAGAGCAUUUAUCCACUUUUCAAAAAGUCCUGGAACAAGCGUCAGAGAAUGAGAAUCUCCUUCUGAUCGUGCAAAGGAUAGGCCAGGAGAUCCUUCCUACUCUGAACGAGAUCGACCACUGCUACCUGGACGAGCGUCUCAACGCCCUCCCCCAACAGUACAACAGCAUCCUGGCGCUGGCCAAAGAGAAAAAAGACAGGGUUCAACAAUUAAUCAUAGAGAGAAAAGAAUUCAGCACUUUGUUUGAUGCGACUCGAAGCACGGUGGAGAACCUUCAGGAACAGUUGGACAAUCUGGACAAGAAGACUAUCAGUACCAGCGAAGAGGAGCUUGUUUGUCUAAGGAGUGACUAUCAGAGAAUCGGUGAAGGUUUAUCCCACAUCAGCCAUGCGGUCAGAGAUCUUCAGGGUAAAAAUGAAGGCUUUCUCACUAUGGGCCACACACACAGAGCUGAAGAAACGCGUCAGCUCGUGUGCCUUCACUGCACACUGAGAAGAAGAACUAAUCAGAAACGUAAAGAUUUGGAUGAUGCCCUGGAGGUCAUAGAGGAGCACAACAGACAAGCAAACCGCUUAGACCAGGAACUGAAGUUUGCCAAAGACAAUCUGGUUGGACUCAAGUCAGAUUUAGAACUAGAUGCCACACAUAAAAUGGCAGCUCUUUAUGCGUUACUUGAACGUCUGGAUUGUGUAUCUUUAGAGGCCAAAGAAUGUAGCCCACAGACCCAGACCCUCGGCUUGAGCUUUGACCCCACUGCCUUUCAGGAGAUGACAUCCCUGCGUGACUCCCUGCAGUCCUUACGUUUGGAUGUGAAAUGCUGCAUUGAAGAAAGCGUAAAAGACAUCUCACAAGACUUCUCAGGGGAGAUGGAGAAGAUGUCAGAAUGGCUGAAUGAGGUUAAAGUCGCACUAGAGGAGCCUGUAAGCUUCAUGGAAGCCAAAGUUGAGAGGGUGGAGGAGAAAAUGUGCAAACUGAGAAUCACGGAAGAGGAAGUGAGGAGCAGAAUGUGCAAGGUGGAUGCCUUGUUUAGCCAGGAAGUGCAGAUAUAUAGCAGUAGAAAGGAAAGCAUUCCGGCCCAUGUGGAGGUAAAAGGAGAGGAGCUGAGGAUGCUGGGAGAUGAAGUUCUAAAGGAAAUUAACCAAAAGCGGCUGACUCUGGAGCCAGCUCUUGGUGCGGUCCAGAGGCACAAGUCAUGUUUGCAAUCCGUGCAGAAACACCUGAAUCAUGCAGCGGGUUUCCUUCAGAGUGCCAACAUCGAUGUGGAACUUGAGGGCCACAUAGACUGGAUUGUGAACCUGGAAGAAAUCGCAGCGCAGGAAAAGAAGUUUACAGGGGUCCUAGAGGAGAUGAGGACAACAGCGGAGCCCCUGUUGACGGAUGGCGCCAUGACCCUGCUCAGAGGAGAAGCUGAAGCCGUGCAGCUGAGGAGCACGGAAAUCAAACAGCAGAUGGAGGCCUUCAGAGACGUUCAUGAAAGGUCUGCGUCUCUUUGGGCCUCCAUCCAACAUGAGAGAGACCGGCUGGUUGAACAGAUGAACGAUGUGGGGAGCAAGAUGGCUGCCUUCUCCACCGCUAAAGCGGACAGCCUCCAGCAGGCGGAAGACAAGUGUGAGAAAUACAAGUCUUUGGCGACUCACAAUGACCUCCAGGAGUUUGCUCUCAAUGCUCUGAAAGAGAAGGCAGCCGAGUUGGAGCAGCUUGUCGCCAGAACUGACGCAGCCGUUGUUGUCAGCCAUGCUCUCUCGUCACUACGGCAACGAUGGACCAAGCUACGCAGUGUGGUGAGAACCCAGGAGAGGGCACUGGAGGACACUGCCAGGGAGUGGAGGAACUUCACACAAAAGAUGGAGAAAGUGCGCUCCGUCUCAGCAGACCUCCACGGCCGUGUCCCUGACAGCACCGUCGAGAAAGCAGCCACCAGGGCGGCGCUCCAGACCCUCCUUGAGUACCACGACUCCUUCACCCUGGAGGUGGAGAGGGAGCAGUCCAUCCUGGCUCUGAUGGGGCAACAUAUCCACAGCCUCAGAGGAGAUGAGGAGGAGAUGGAGAAAGACCAUCAGGACCCACAGUGCCUUCAAGAGAUCAAAAACAUGCAGGGCCGCUAUGACAGUUUGGUGUUACAGGUCCGUGCUAGCAGGGCUCAGGUGCACCAAGAGUUGAGGGAGCGAGAGGAUGUCGAGAAGGAGCUGGGCUUGGUUAAAGGUUGGAUUCAAGACACUCGAGGCUUGCUCUUGAGUCCCACUGCAGACCUGGACACUCUUUUGCAAGAGUUGGAGACGGCACACGGCGAGGUAAUCAAUCGACGACAGAGUCUGGAGCGCAUGACGGUGGUGCAGCAGUCAAAGUACCAGGACCUCCAGGCGGGGCUGCCGUCGGAGCUCAGCAUGCAGCUGGCGGAGGUGGCGCUGGCUCUGGGUUCUGCUGAGGACCAGGUCCAAGCCAGAGAACGAGAGGUGCAGCAGACCCGAGACGUAAAGGAGGACUUCAGCUCCAGACUGCAGGACAUCCAGUCCAAGCUGAAGAGCAUCACGUUGAGAUUUGAAAUGAAGGGAGCCAACCUGGAGGAGGCCAAAGAGGAGACCAGGACUCUUCGGGAAGAGUGCGAAUGCUGCACUCACACCCUGGCUGAGUUAGCUGCGGCCGUGCAGGAGUUUAGUGAGCAGAACCCUCUCUUGUGCAAGCAGCUGGGCGACGCCGUGGCCAAAAUGGCCCAAGUGCAGCGCCACACCACACAGCAGGUCCAGGACCGAAGCAACAAACUGAAAAAGGCGGAGAAGCAGAUGCAGGAGUAUCAAAGUAUGAAGGAAUUUAUUUUGAGUUGGAUUGAAAAAGCGGAGACUCUGGUGACUGGUGACAUCAUCUGGAACCCGGUAUCUCAGCUCCAAGAGCAAAUCAGAGCAUAUCAGGCGUUGCUGCGGGAGUGUCGAGGUCUCCAUGGUGACUUGGAGGCCAUGGCAGAAAGGGAGGUGCAGCUGGGGGAGGUGUUGACGACUAAAGGGUGGAGCCAGCAGGUGAAACACCUCAGCAGACGCACUGAGGAGCUUCAGCUGUCAGCCAAGACCCGGCUGCAGAGUCUGCAGGAUGCGGCCAAGGAUAUUUUGCGUCUGGAAGCCGAGGUGAAGAGUCUCCACGCUGCAGUGGACCAGAUCCAAGUCACACUGGCCUCCCCGGAUCUCAACAGGCUGAGUCUGAGAGAGCAGCUCACACAGAGACAGCGUCUGUUGGCCGAGAUGGAUGGCUUCAAGCGGCAGGUGGCGGCUGUACAGCAGUGUCAGAGCGCCCUCCGGCUUCCGGAAGAGGUAGUGGCAGGUCUUCCUGUGUGCCGCACAGCGCAGAUCUUGCAGCAAGAAACCAGCCAGCUGCAGCAUACAACCAUCCAGCAGUGCAAUAUCCUACAGGAGGCUGUGGUGCAGUAUGAACAGUAUGAAGUGGAAGUGAAGAACUUGCAGAGGUUGAUAGAGGAAGCCCACCGCAUCAUUCAGGACCGACCUGUGUGCACCAGCAACAUUCAGGAGCUUCAGGCUCAGAUACAGCACCAUGAGGAGCUAGCCCAGAAGAUCCGUGGCUACCAGGAGCAGAUCGCGUCGCUUCACUCCAAGUGCAAGAUGCUGACGGUGAAGGCCAAGCACGCCACUAUGCUGCUGACGGUCAGCGAGGUGGAUGGCCUCUUGGACGGCAUGGACGAGCUCAGCGACGAGGAGCUGCCGAGCGCCGGAGCCAGCGACAAGCAGCUUCCUGCUCACCCCUCUGUCGUCAUGAUGACAGCGGGCCGCUGCCACACGCUCCUCUCCCCUGUGACCGAGGAGUCAGGGGAGGAGGGCACCAACAGCGAGGUCUCCUCUCCCCCUGCCUGCCGCUCCCCCUCCCCUGGGGCUAACGCUGACGCUCCUCUUAACCAGGCUCGAGGCGGUCUUAGUCGAGUCCCCCUGCAGGAACUCUAUGAUCCGUCUAUGGAGAGCAGCACUGCCAACCUGGAUGACCUGCAGAGAUCUUGGGAAACACUCAAGAACGUGAUAAGCGAGAAGCAGAAGAGCCUGUAUGAAGCCCUGGAGCGACAGCAGCAUUACCAGGAGUCCCUCCAGUCCAUUUCUACCAAAAUGGAGUCCAUAGAGGCGGCACUUAGCGAAGGCCUGGAGCCCAACAAGAGCCCAGAGAGCCAGAUGGCGACACAUCAGGCUCUAAUGGACGAGAUCCUGAUGCUGCAAGAUGAAAUCGGGGCGCUGCAGACAUGUUUCUCAGAGGAGCUGGCUGACGGAGACAGUGACGCAGAGGCUGCUGACCAGCUCGCCCUGCAGUCCACGCUCACUGUGCUGGGGGAGAGAAUGGCCACCAUUAGAAUGAAGGCUUCUGGAAAGCGCCAGCUGCUGGAGGAGAAGCUCAGUGAGCAGCUUGAGGAGCAGCGACAGGAGCAGGCACUGCAGCGUUACCACAGCGAGGCCGAGGAGCUCGACCACUGGCUGCUCAGCACUCGUGCCACCCUCAGCUCGGCGCUUCAGCUUCAAAAUGAAGACCUGGACAUGGAGGAACAGCUCAUUGACUGCCAGAACAUGCUGUUUGAAAUCGAGCAGAAGGUGUCGUAUCUCUCUGAGCUGUCCGUGCACAGCGAGAGCUUACUUUUGGAGGGACGGGCCGAGACCAAGGGCGAGGCGGAGCAGCUCACUUUCAAACUGCACUCUCUGAAAGACAGCCUGCUGGAGCUGCAGCAGAUGCUGCAGGACAAACAGGUGGACAUACAGGGUUCUUUGCAGGAGCAGGAUGACAGUGAGCCAGACUCGACGCUUUCGCAGAGCCCCAACGUGCAGGAUUGGCUGUCUCAGGCCCGUUCGUCACGCACGCAGCAGCAUCAUGACAAUCUGCUCCGCCAGAGAGAGCUGCAAGAGCAUGUUGCUGAGCAGAGGAGGUUGCUUCAGUCUGUAGCCAGUGUUGGCGAGAACUUCCUCAGCCAGCAGAUCACACCAAAUGGGGACAGUGAGGUGUCUUUUCCUGGGGGAGUUUUGCUGGAGACGGAGAGCCUGUCCCCCGUGGACCACUUGAGACAACGCUGGGAGAACCUGAACAAAGAUCAGAGUACCAAGCUGCAGCUCUCGCUCAACACGCUGGAACAGGACCAGUUUAGCCUGAUCAUCCACCGGUCCCGCCUGACUAGCCCUAGCAUGGUCUUCAGGGGCGAGUCCAUCAACCAGGACUCUCACUCCCCGACAGCUUUAUUUGAGGCCUGCAGUCAGACUCUGGAAAGAAUUGCUGAGGAGGCAGAGAGCGGGGACAGAAAGAUGGUGCUGUCCACAGUGGGAACCACACUCCAACAGACACUGUACACCGCCGUAUCAGCAGCCUCCACCUGGUUGGACGCCGCUGAGAACGAGAUGCUCUCCGGACCUGUGCUGCUGUCUGAAGAUACAGAGACGCAGCUCACAAGUCUCGAGUGCACAAAUAAAGAUCUGAAGGACAUGAGCAGAGAGGUGAACCAGUGCAGAGACCUCCUGGGUGGAGGAGCAGGCCGCCUGUGUGGAGGGGAGGAGCGAGCCUUAAUGGAGGACACCCUGGAGGGUCUGCAGGAGAGGAUGGGGCUGCUGGACUCCACCCUUGAACAGCACUGUGACACCAUGAGGGACAGGCUCCAGGAGCACCUAAACUUCCAGAAUGAACUCCGGAUGCUGUUCACAGCUUUGAGCGGGAGUAAAGACAUGCUGCUACAGAAGAUGGCUGCAACAGUGGAGCGGCCUGCUGCCAAACAGAUUGAGACGUUAUCAGAGGUAGAGGACAGUCUCAGGGAGUUUGAGCAGAGAGUGACCGAGUUGAAAUCCAAAGCUGAGGGACUCCAAUCCGACCAAAUCUCCCACCAGGAACUUCUCAAAUUCCAGGAUGCAUAUGAGGAGCUGCUGCUGAUGGUGGGCUCCCGGCGCAGCGGCCUGAAUCGAGCCUUGUCGCUGAAGGCUCAGUACGAAGCUGCGCUCCGUGACCUUAAAGAUCUGGUGGACACGGCUCAAGACAAGAUGGCUGCAGACCAGAAGAUGACGGUAGCCUCCGUAAUUGAGGUCCAGAUGCUACUGGACAAACACAAAGACUUCUUCCAGAGUCUUGAGUGCCAUAUGAUCCUUACCCAGACCUUUUACAGUAAAGUGUCAGGUCUGGUGGCCCAGCGGGAAAGCCAGGCCCUAGAGGAGACCAUGUCUUUAGCCCACAGUGUCCUCAAACAGGCUCACAGGAGGGGGGUGGAACUGGAGGGCAUACUGGAGUCAUGGAGCAGGCUUGUGGAAGACUACCAGGCUUUGUGUAGGCAGUUGGAGGCUGUGGAGUGCAGCAUCCCCACUCUGGGCCUGGUGGAGGAGACGGAGGAGAGACUCCUUGAGAGGAUCAGUCUCCACCAGCGUCUGAAGGCCAGUCUGACUGAGCAUCAGCCCCAACUGUAUCAGGUUCUGGAGGAGGGCAAGAAGCUUCUCCUGUCUGUUAGCUGUCUCGACUUGGAGAACCAGCUGACGCAGCUGGGAGAGCACUGGCUUUCAUCGACCACCAAAGUCAACAAGGAGCUCCACCGCCUCGACUCCACACUCAAACACUGGAGCAGGUACCAAAGGGAGUCUGCAGAGCUGAGCCACUGGUUGCAUUUAGCGCUAGACAGAUUGGAGUUUUGGACAACCCAGUCGGUCACUGUGCCUCAGGAACUGGAAACGGUUCGAGACCACCUCUGUGCUUUCCUGGAGUUUUCCAAGGAGGUGGAUGCAAAGUCUUCUCUGCGUUCGUCCGUCCUGAGCACGGGCAACCAGCUGCUGAGACUAAAGAGAGUAGACACAGCUAGUCUGAGAACAGCACUAGGCCACAUUGACACUCAGUGGGCCGAGCUGCUCACACGCAUUCCCGUUGUCCAAGAGAAGCUCCAUCAGCUGCAGAUGGAGAAGCUGGCGUCAAGGCACGCCAUAGCGGAGCUGAUAAGCUGGAUCUCGCUCAUGGAGAACAUCAUAGAUGAAGAUCAGGACAAAAUAGCUGCAGCUGUGGGCUCCGAGGUGGUCCAGAACUUCUUGCAGAAGUACAAGGGGUUCCGCAUCGAUCUGACCUGCAAGCAGCUGACUGUGGACUUUGUGAACCAGUCAGUGCUACAGAUCAGCAGUCAGGACGUGGAAGGAAAAAGGAGUGAUAAAACGGACUUUGCAGAGAGGCUGGGAGCCAUGAAUAGACGAUGGCAGAUACUACAAGGGCUCAUCACGGAAAAAAUUCAGCAUUUGGAAGGACUUUUGGAAAGUUGGUUCGAGCAUGAAAAUGGAGUACAGGCCUUGAAAACAUGGCUGACACUCCAGGAGGAGAAAUUAAAGAAGAGACACAGGAUUGAGGACGUAGCAUCAGUGCAGAAUGCACUUAAGGAUUGUCAGGAGUUGGAGGAAUUAGUGAAGGAGAAAGAGAAGGAUCUAGAGAAGGCAGAGGAACGAGGAAACGCUCUCAUCCAGGAUAAGAAAGGAGAGGCUUGCUGUGUUGUAAAGGAGACCCUCAAGGGACUGAGCCAGUCCUGGGCUCAUUUGGACCACAUGAUAAGUCAGAUGAAAGUGAGUCUGCGGUCAGUGCUGGAACAAUGGACCUUAUACAGACGAGCUUCAGAGGAGAUUAUUGGCUACCUGAUGGAGGGGAGGUACUGUGUGUCCAGGCUGCACCUUGUUAGCGGUUCUCUGGAGGCUGCGCAGCAACAGGUGGAGAGUCUAGAGAACCUGCAAGAGGAAAUGGACAAGCAGGAGAACAGUCUGCGCAAGUUUGGCUCUGUAACACAGCAGCUCCUCACAGAGUGCCACCCGUGUGUCGCCGAAACACUUAACAGAGCCCUGCGGGAUGUCAACAUGAGAUGGAACGACCUGCUAGAGCAGAUCUCGGAGCAGCUGAGGAGCAGUAAGGCCUUGCUGGGCCUGUGGCGGCAUUAUAAAGAACUGUACAGUAGUUGUGUGAAAGCAGUGCAAAGGCAGGAGGAGCGUGCUGACCGCCUGCUCAAGAGCGCCACCGACAAGGACAUCACUGAAGAGGAGAGCAGUUCCUGGAUGAAGGACUGCAAUGAGUGUCUUGGUGAUCAAGAAUUUGUCCAGCAUUCCCUCCAGCAGCUGCAAGCAUUGGGAGAGCAGCUGAGGACCAGAGUGGAUGCCUCCUCCUUUGCAGCCCUUCAGUCGGACCACAUGUCUCUGAGGCAUCGCCUCGCAGCGCUGACACACGCCCUCAACAGGCAGCAGGAGGUACUGCAGUCUGGAGGCCGGGCCUGUGAGGGCUUCAGGGAACAAUUGGACACGCUUAUCCAUACGGCAGCUGAGGCUGCAGAAGUGUUGAAGGAGUCUGACCAGCUUGGCUCGCCAGCGCUUAGUGAGAUACAGACACGUAUGGAAAAACUGAAGGCUCCUCUCGCCAAGCUGAGCAGCCUUUCUCCAGACCUGGAGCGCGUCAAUUUGCUCAUGUACAGACUCCCAGUCAGUGACAGAGACCUGAAGCGUCUUCAGUGUCUGAACAGAGCGUGGGCGUCCCACUUGGCUCACCUCAGUGAGCGGUUCAGUAAACUGCAGGCGGUGCUACUCCUGCACCAGAGCUUCCUGCAGAAGUGCGAAGCCUGGAUGGACUUCCUGUCUCAGACUGAGCAAAAACUGGCUGGGGAGAUCUCAGGCAACCAUGAGCGUCUGCUGGAGCAGCAGCGAGACCAUGAGUUGUUUCAGGCUGAGAUGUUCAGCCAACAGCAGAUUCUUUACUCUAUUAUCAGCGAUGGCCAUCGUAUGCUGGACCAAGGACAAGUGGAUGAUGGAGACGACUUCAGUGUUAAGCUGGCCUUGCUGGCUAAUCAGUGGCAGGGUGUGGCGAGGCGGGCCCAGCAGCGAAGAGGCAUUAUUGACAGUCUGGUCCACCAGUGGCAGAACUACCACGAGAUGUCUGAAAAGCUGCUGCGCUGGCUGCAGGACGUUUCUCGCGACCUGGAUGUGCAUCAGCCAGGAGGAGAACCAGUUGCUCUGCAGCAGGCUAGAAACCUGCUGGAUCAGAUACAACUGAGAGAGCGCGUCCUCCAGAGGCAGCAAGGAGGCUACAUCGUGACGGUGGAGGCCGGCAGAAGCCUGCUGCUGUCGGCCGACGCCCAGGCCGAGUCUAUGCUGCAGACAGAGCUGAUGGAGAUCCAGGAGAGGUGGAGACACGCCCACCAACGCCUGGACCAGCAGAGGAAGGAGCUGCAUGGUCUGCUCAAGAACUGGGAGCGAUGCGAUAAAGGCAUCGACGCCUCUCUGGAGAAGCUGAGGGCCUUCAAGAGGAAGCUGUCUGUGGCGCUGCCUGACCAUCACGAAGAGCUGCACUCGGAGCAGAUGAGAUGCAAGGAGCUGGAGAGCAGCGUGGAGGGCUGGAGCGAUGAACUCACUUCCUUGUUCCUCCUGAGGGACUCCUUGGUGGGCGUGGUGGGCAACGAUGACAUCACUGUCCUUCAGGAACGCCUCCAUCUUCUCCAGCGCCAGUGGGACGAGGUGUGCCAUCAGCUUUCCCUGCGCCGGCAGCAGGUCAGCGAGAAGUUGAACGAGUGGGCCGUGUUCAAUGAGAAGAACAAGGAACUGUGCGAAUGGCUCACACAAAUGGAGAGCAAAGUCUCUCAAAAUGGGGACAUCAGCAUUGAGGAGAUGAUCGAAAAGCUGCGCAAGGAUUACCAGGAAGAGAUCGGUGUUGCUCAGGAGAAUAAGCAGCAGCUUCAGCUCAUGGGAGAGCGCUUGGCUCGGGCCAGCCAGGACACCAAGGCAGCGGAAAUACAACACAAACUCAAUAAAGUCAACGAGCGCUGGCAACACCUGCUGGACCUCAUUGCCGCCAGGGUGAAGAAGCUGAGGGAGACCCUCGUGGCGGUGCAGCAGUUAGACAAAAACAUGAGCGGCCUGCGCUCCUGGCUGGCUCACAUCGAGACUGAGCUGUCCAGGCCCAUCGUAUACGACACGUGCGACGACCAGGAGAUCCAAAGGAAGCUCAACCAGCAGCAGGAGCUGCAGAGGGACAUCGAGAGACACAGUACAGGUGUGGCUUCCGUGCUGAACUUGUGCGAAGUGCUCCUGCACGACUGCGACGCCUGCUCCACCGAGACGGAGUGCGACUCUAUCCAGCAGGCCACCAGGGGGCUGGACCGACGUUGGAGGAACAUCUGCGCAAUGUCCAUGGAGAGGAGGCUCAAGAUUGAGGAGACAUUGAGGUUGUGGCAGAAGUUUUUAGACGACUUCUCGCGCUUUGAGGAGUGGCUGAAGACUUCAGAGAGAACAGCCGCCACGCCCAACUCCUCUGGCGUCCUCUACACUGUUGCCAAAGAGGAACUCAAAAAGUUUGAGGCCUUCCAGCGCCAAGUACAGGAGUGUUUGACCCAGCUGGAGCUCAUCAACAAGCAGUAUCGACGCCUGGCUCGUGAGAACCGCACCGACUCAUCCUGCCAUCUCAAAGAAAUGGUGCAUGAUGGGAACAGGAGAUGGGACAAGCUUCAGAAAAGGGUGGCGGCCAUCCUGCGCCGACUCAAGCACUUCAUCAGCCAGAGGGAGGAGUUUGAGACGGCUCGGGACAGCAUCCUGGUGUGGCUGACUGAGAUGGACUUACAGCUCACCAACAUUGAACACUUCUCCGAGUGUGACGUCCACGCUAAGAUUAAACAACUCAAGGCGUUCCAGCAGGAGAUCCACUUGAACAUGGGCAAGAUCGAUCUGGUGUUCAGGCAGGGCGAUGCUCUGAUUGAGAAGAGUGAACCCUUGGAUGCAGCUGUGAUCGAAGAGGAGCUUGAGGAGCUCCAGAGGUACUACCAGGAGGUCUUCGGACGAGUCAAUAGAUACUACAAGAAGCUUACACGGUUACCUCUCGUGGACGAUGAGCUCGACAGUUCAGACAGAGAGCUGGACAUGGAGGAGGGUGCCGAUCUCUCCGAGCUGCGGUGGAGCGACUCAACACCUCCACGACCCUCCAGCCGACCACCUUCUGGGGCGACCACCUUGAUUCGUGCAGACCGCUCAGGCCGGGACACCCCAGCCAGUGUGGACUCCAUUCCGUUGGAAUGGGAUCAUGACUAUGACCUGAGCAGGGGUCUGGACAGCCCAGGAGGGCGGAGUCACAGGGAAAGGAACCGAGGGCAAGAGGAAGAGGACGAGUAUCUGAGGACGGCUACUGCAGUGCUGUCAGAUGUAGUUAUUCCCGAGAGUCCGGAGGCGUAUAUAAAACUGACUGAGAACACGUUGAAAUCGUCCUCUGGUGAGCCAGGACAGCUGGAGGCCAGUCUCAGACAACUGGACCAGGUUCUGGAUGCAGGACGAUACCACCUGCAGGCGAGAGAGGAUGCCGCCAGCCGUUCCAGCCCUGAUGCUGACUCCACCUACAUGGGCUAUAUGCGUCUGAUGGGCGAGUGUCGUGGCAGCAUUGACGCCGUGAAACGAGCUGAGGAAGAACUCACAGAGGAUGAAGAUGAAAUGCCAGGACUCACCAACCCGACCAUCGCAGACAGUCAGAGCACAGGUGUGAUCAAGCGCUGGGAGCUGAUCCAAGCUCAGUCCCUCAGUGAAAAACACAAGCACAAACAGAACCUGCAGCAAUGGCAGCAGCUGAUCUUAGACCUGCAGACCAUGCGUGCCUGGUUGGGUCAGUGCGAGGCAGAACUGGGCCAGCUGCGAGGACUGGAGCUCCGCACGGACAUCCACAGCAUCCAGCAGAGGAUCAAGAAGCUCAGGGAGCUGCAGAAGGGGAUGGACACCCACAAGUCGGAGGUGCUUUCCAUCAACCUGAGCAGCGCCAGCUUCCUCCAAUCGGAGCCUGACUCUGAGGAGGCGUGGGAGCUGAGGGAUGGUCUGAAGGAGAUGAACGCACACUGGGAUCGCCUCGGCACUUGGCUGGAGGAGUGGAGGGAGGAGCUGCAGCGGGCUCUCAUGCAGUGCCAGGAGUUCCACGAGAUGAGCCAUGGUCUGCUGCUAUGGUUGGAGAACAUCGACCGGCGGAGGAACGAGGUGGUGCCCGUGCCUCCCAACCUGGACCGUGAAACGCUACAAGCUCAUCACAGGACACUAACUCAAAUCAAGCGUGAGCUGCUGGACUCUCAGCAGAAGGUGUCGUCCCUACAGGAGCUCUCAGCUCAGCUGCUGGUCAGCACGGCCGUGCCCACGCCCACCCCUCACCUUUCCCCGGGCAGCGAGUGCCUGGAGGCCCGGGAGAAGGUGCACGUGAUCUGGAACAGGCUGCGUCUCCUCCUGCGGGAGGUCGACUACGACCUGGAGGGUCUGCACAGGCGACUGGAGGCCAUGAGCACGCAACAGGAUUUCAUACCCCUAUCUGUUGGGAAAGGUGACAUGAUUGCUGCUUUUCCUGUGUCUGAGUCAACAAACAUCCAACCUUGCAGACGACUGCCUCGAGGCAAAAGUAGUCAGGCCCACCCCGGACCCCCUGAGAGCAGCCCCCGCCACAGCCGCAGGAGGUCACCCGGCGCCGCUGGCUGCGUUUCCUCCCGUUCUGACAUUUUGGACGGUGUCUCCUGGCCAUCCUCCUCCCCCUCUUCCUCCAAGGGCCAGUCCUUCCUGCAUCGUGUACUGAGGGCAGCGCUCCCUGUGCAGCUGCUGCUCCUGCUCCUCAUCGGACUGGCCUGCCUGGUGCCCAUGAGCCAGGAGGACUACAGCUGUCACCACGCCAACAACUUUGCCCGCUCCUUCCAUCCCAUGCUGCGCUACACCAACGGACCUCCACCGAUAUAGCUGCCUCGCCACAUGUAUUGCUUUGCCAAGGACUCACUCCUAUGAAUGUGCCCUUUUUCACCCUGUGCCCUACAGCGACUAGCUCCGCCCCCUGCUGGGAUGCACCAUUAUGACAGCCCUUUAAGUACGAAAGGACCUUUAUGUGGAAAACCCAAAUAUUUUUGUUUUGUUUGAACUUAAAUGUGUAUAUGGGUUUUUUUUAAGUGAUAUCAAUAAGGAGGAAGAAAGCACUCUUUAUCCACACUUACUGAUGGGAACCAAAGUCGUCCACUAUUCCCAGUGCUGCUACUAUUUAUUGAGUUGAAGAAUAUUCGUGUGAACAAAGCUCAAGUGUUUAAGAAUAAUGGUCCAAAAGAGAUUUAAUGAUUAUACAACUCAGUAAAUAUAAAGUAUGACGCCAUUUCGAUGACAUUAUGGCCGUUUGUUUACAGACACAACGCUGUUCGUAAAAUACCCGGAUAUACGAUAUUGCGAGGGUGAAAAUCCUCGGAUGUAGUAGUCCUCGCGGACUCAAGUACCCGGAUGUGGUUUUGCGCGUCCGUUUGUUACGUCCCACAAUAUUGUUGACACGACGUUGUGAAGUCCAUUACCUUUCUAAUUAACGAUUUUUUUUCCUGGACUAAAUUGCCAACUUAAUUUCUCUCGGAUUCUUACCGACUUUGCUGAGGAACUGUCUGCGCACUCGUGUGAAGACUCUUCAAUCUUCUGGCGUCUUCACCUGCUUCCUUCUUAGUCCUCUGUGUUGGUGAUGAUGUCAGCGCAGUCGGAGCGGGACCCUCCAAACUGCAGGACUCCUGGACAUGGAGGGGCUCUGCUGAGGCUCUCCUGGCUGCUGUUGCUGCUACCUCCUGAACUGGAGGAGGGGCCACCGUUGCUGCUACCGCUGGGAGGCACUUUAGCCGGACGGUGCAAGCGAUGGGCGUCCAGCAUCUCCAGCAGCAAGUCGUAAAGUGGCACUUUGUUCUUACACUUCAUGCUGUACAGGUGCUCCAUGCCUUUGUUACUGUAAGUAUACAUGUCAAGAUAUGGUCAUGGUCUGUAGUUAUGUCACUUGUAAAACCACUUUGUCCCUCUAGGGGAGAUGAAAGAUCACAGUCUUGUGAUCUUUUAAUACCACUUUUUUCCUCAAUAGAUAAGUCUGUUUUGCAAUACCACUCUGUUCCUCUAGGCACAAAAUAGUGACUCAUUAUCACCCCUAGAGUAACAAAGUGGUAUUACAAUACUUACUCAUCGCCCCCAGAGGAAGAAAAUAUUAUUACGCUAGACUCAUUGACCCUAGAGGAACAAAAUGGUAUUACAAGACUGACUCACCAUCGUCCCUCGAGGACCAAAGUGUUCUAGACAGGGAGACUGCAUUCCAAUGGCAGUUUAAGUUGCCCUUGUUGACUUUAUCUAGGUGCUUGGUAUUACGCCAUUACCGACGUCAUUCGGAGACCACUCGCAGAGCCGAGGGAAAGUGGAUGUGGGAGGAGUAGAAGUGAUAAAUGGAAGGCACCUGCCCUUGUUCGCAUACAGCCAGCCAGCAAGCAUGGUUUGACCAAUACUUGUAGGUGUAGCGCUGAAUGACAGUCAUGACGGUGGCACAGAUUCCCCCAAGGGCAAGUGUGGAGGGGAAGUCAACAAGGGCAACUCAACUGUCAUUAGUCCUGUAAUACCAGACUGGUCCUCUAGGGGCAAUAAUGACUUGUAAUGACUAUGAUGAGUCAUAGUCCUUCAUUCAUUCAUUCUCUACCGCUUUUUCCUCACGAGGGUCGCGUGGGGUGCUGGAGCCUAUCCCAGCUGUCUUCGGGCGAGAGGCGGGGUACACCCUGGACCGGUCGCCAGCCAAUCACAGGGCACAUAUAGACAUUCAACAACCAUUCACACUCACAUUCAUACCUAUGGACAAUUUGGAGUGGCCAAUUAACCUAGCAUGUUUUUGGAAUGUGGGAGGAAACCGGAGUACCCGAAGAAAACCCAUGCAUGCAUGGGGAGAACAUGCAAACUCCAACAGAUGGCCGAGGGUGGAAUUGAACCCUGGUCUCCUAGCUGUGAGGUCUGCGCGCUAAUCACACGACCGCCGUGCCGCCCCGAGUCAUAGUCCUGUUAUAUUAAAAUAAUCAAUGAGGCAUAAUCAUCCAACAACUUAAUGAUAAAACGUGAUUUCACUGAUAUUUAAAUUUAAUGAAAAAUGUUCCUGUUUUUGUCUUUGAUUUUGUUUAAAAAAUAGUUUUCCAAAAAGUGGUUUAACACGGUAUGUGUUUUGCGAGUAGGCUUUCACCUCAUGUGCCUGAUGUGAGAUAGUAGGAGGAGCAGCUGGGCCUGGCGCCUGGCCUGCUGCUGCACUGAGCACCCUGAUUGGCUGAUGUGAUGUAUGAGGGCGUCGGUGAUGGUGUCCAGCAUGCCUUGCACCGCCACGCUGUCAUGGAGCGGCUCCAUGGUACCCGUGCAGAACGCAAAGGCGCCUAUAUAGAGAGACACGUUUUUUAGAAGCAGCAUGUAUUAUGAGCUAUGUUCAGAGACAAAACAAUAAAAGAUUGAGGGCAGAGGUUGAAUUGCGAGUGCCCACGCAGCAAUCGCGAGUUCAUCGGGCUCCAGCAGCUGAGUCGUCGCUGUCAUCUCUGUGGUAUUUUCACUUUGCUGCUCUAUGGAAUAGCUUCAUCUGUGGGACGAGCUCAGCCCUCUUGUGUGCGCUGUCAUGUUGCCAUGGCAAUGCUUAUUGGCCUCAUCCGUGGUACGGGCCUUCCAGGACACCAUGUUCAGUGCUACGUCUCAGUGUACCACACACAGGUGCAUCUCAUUAAAUAACCAAUAGCGUGCCAAAGUUAUUUCAUAUCAGGAGUUCCAGUCAGAUUAAGAGACUAAUUAAAGGCUCAGGAAGUUUUGGCAGUUCUUUUGCUGAUUUAAGCACCAAACCAGUAGAUUAUUUUUCACAUAAUAAUAAACAAAUAAAAUGUCUCCUUACCAGAGUUGAGCAAGAUAAUUGCUUUGAGGCAGACAAACUCCUCAGGCUUGAGUCUUAGCAUGCGAAACCGAGAGGCGGUGGCCAGCAGCAUGUCAAAGAUCUCAGCCAUGCCUUCAACGCAGUCUCCUUCGCUCCUGCACACCACAGCAUGUCAGCAAACAAACAAACAAUUAGACGUGCAGUUUUCAAAUUUCUGAACAAGUACAGUAUAUUGCACAACGUAUAACUAUUAAAACUUGUAAUAGCUAUAUAGCUCAGACAGCAUUAAUACGGCACUACAGCAAAUGAAACACACAGAUUUCACACCAAUAGCUGAGUAACAUUUUAAAGCGCAUGCGGAGAUAGAUAAAGAUGCUAGACGGUCAUCACAUACGACUACUAUGAACGACUACCUCGGGAGGUUACUACAGCCACAGCUGUGAAUGCCAAUGUUUAAUUUUUUUUAUUUGCUUUUAGAGCCAUUAAUUGGAGUUUACAGUGAUAAUUAAAUAUGCAAACUCGAUCUUAAUAUCCUAUCCUACAUGAAAUAUAUUUUUUUAAAAACAAGAGUUUUUUCUGUCAACCAAAGGCCGCAACAUAACUGAGCAAAAGGGUACGUGGUUCAAGUUUUCUGGUUCAAGUGAGGGAAGGGCAGAUGAUACCACAGUGGUCAUGGAGCUGCACCUGAGGGAAUUCAUCGACCGUGACCUGCUGCGUUUUAGUCAUCAUGUCCAAUCUAGGAGGACACUUAUAGCGCGGCCAGGUUUUAGAGAUAAUACGGUAAUACACUUUUCCGAUCAAAUGGGACCAUCAGGCACAUUGCAGGCUAAAAGCUUUGUCUGUCUGCCUCGCGUUCAGCUGUCAUUCUGUGUUUUUUUUUUCUUCUCCCAGGUAGAAGUGAGGAUUGGGCUAGGAUGUUUACUCCGAGAACAGGAGAGGCUGGAUGGAAGGAAACAGCAAAACCAUCCUUCCAUCUCUAUUUCCUCGUCCUCUUAACUCCUUCCCACCAUCGUCAUUCAUUUUCUAUCAUUCUGUGCAUUGAGGCUUUGAUUACAUCUGUCCUGCUUGCCAGCUCGGCUCAAUAAUGAUGACGAGGGAGGUGGUCCUGUCUUCACUGUGGGAGACGCGUAAUUAGUCUUUCACUGUACGACAGACGUGUUGGGAUGGCACAAUGGAUGCUAAGGUGCGAAAUGGAAAAUCUACAAUGCUGAUGUGUCACUCUUGAGGUGUGGGUGAGAGAGAGAGAGAGAGUGAGGGGAUGAUGAAGAGUACUAGGAUGAGAGAGAGAGAAGUAGGCCAGUGGUACUCUCUUACCUGUCCAAAAUGAGGUCCUGAGCGAAGAUGAGCUUUCCAGGACAGUGGAUGGACCUCCAGAUGAGGCCGAUCAUCAGCACCUCCAACCACGAGCUUUCUAGCAGCUGCACCUGGUCGUGCAGGGAAAGCUGCAGGAAACCUGAGCACAAAGUCAGCAUUUUGAGCACAGCUCCAGGUGACACACACACUUGACACUUUGUAUGCUGAUGAAUCAUAACAACAGUUACUUAGCAUGCAGACCAAACACAGAUAGUGCUGAUUAAUGGGGUGGUGCAGGCGUGAUGCGGCAUAUCAACAACAUUAGCAGCAUCUGCCUACUCACAGAACACAAAAUAUGCAUGCACUUGUUUUGUGCCUCAAAGACACCAUGAGCACUGUACAGUAUAGCCUUAUCACGAGCACUCACGCCCUUGUUAGCUGCUAAUGUCUCAAAUUGGGAUUUACUCUGUGUGUGCAUGUAAAAAGGUGAUGUUCAUGUAGGCACUAUGGGGGGCCUCCCUAAUGGCUCAACAAUCCUGUCAAAGGUGAUGACUGUAAUUACCAGCACUCUGAUAGCUCUGCUUUUCCCUGUGUGUGUUGCAGUGACAUUGAUUUGAAAUUGCUUUCAAACCUCACACACACACACACACUUGUUUAUACACAUUUCUGUUUACAACUGUUAUACAAAUUUUAAUUUAAUGCUUUUACAUCCCUGCCAACCUAGUGAGGACAAGCAGCAUAGAACAUGGAUGGAUGGAUGCUUUUAUAUAGGGGUAGGGGUGUCACAAGACACGUGAUAAGUACCAGAUGAGAUUUCAACAUUAGUUUUAAGAAAAGUACAAUAAAAAAAUAACAAUAUAUAUACUACAUAAGACUGUUGUGCACUCUGUGUGUAUGCUUGCUGCCCCGCCUCCACCCACCGAGACAUAGCCCUUAUAACAAAGGACAAAACAGCUCACUCCAUUUAUAAUAAGAUGCUGAAACCAGUGCAGAACCAGAGUGAACUCUCCUUGUGCCUGUUUCAAAUGACGAAUACAGACACACAUGCACAUGGCAAUAUAUUAAAGCCGACAAAAUGAUCAAUUUCAUUUAUUGUACAGUUAAUUCAUUUAUAAGCGUCCUGGGGCUAGUUCCCAUGAGACAGUUUUUCUUCUGACUGACAAAUCUUGUCAUAUUUUAAUCUCGCGAGAUCUUGUGACUUGUCACAUGAGAGCUUGUGACAACCCUACCAUUUGUUCACGUUUCCCCACACAAGACGAGUCCGAUAUUUUUCUGCUGAAUAUAUUUACAGUAUACUGUAUAUCUCUCAAUUUUGAGGCCAGUUGAGGAAUCACUGCAGACGCAGCAUCAAUCAGCCUGAAAUAGUAGUGAUCUGUUCCAGAGUCAGUCACCAGUUUGUGUCAUACAGGCGUAAAAUUAACUGACAAAGGUGUAAUGCAAAACGUGAAUCACAUCAUUGAUGCACACCUCACCAUUUUCAAACUGUCACUUUUACAGUAGGUACAGAAAGUAAAGUAAGUACAGAACUGAGCUCUUUUUUUUUAGAUGAUUGUACCUUCAGCUUGAAACUGCUAACAUGAAUCAGCCUUACCAGGAAGCUUCUUGGCCCAAGCGAUCAUGUGGACUAGUUCCUUGUCAGCCAUGCUGGUGAGCAGGGUCAUCAUGGUGACCUCCGUGUAGGGUCGGCUCAGCUUCUGCCGCGAACACAAUAUCGGGGGUUCGGCCCCCUGCAGCAGGAGAAGCACCUGUCGACGUAUAAGAUAUUAACAUGUUUACAUGAUAUGAAACAAUGGCUAUAUCCAUCCAGGAUGAAAUUAACCUGGUCAGGUGGGAUGUCCGUUACAGAUGAUCUUCCCCCACCGGCACAGCUUCCUUGUUUCCUCCCGUCCUGUGGGGACACUUUUCUAUGCUCCGCGUCCUUGGUAGUCUUCUCAGAUGUGCCUGUGCGCCGCUUGUCACGCCGUAGCACGCGACCGCGGUCUUUGCGCACACCUUGUAGCAGACAGUACAACUCUCACACCACAGAAGAUACAUCAGGCUGUGUCUCAAAGAAUAAUAUAUGAUCAUUGUUGCACAUUCUCCACUCAAGACACAGACACAGGUCUUGGCAUAGAAUCCAGCAGCACAUAGUUUAAGGAUGCUGUGUGUCCAACAAGUAUGAAAACAAAAAACGUGGGUGUGCACUACUUACUCCUUAAGAAGGAAAUCACUUCAAGGUCGCAUUAGAGUUAGACUCAAGCAUGCCAGUGAAUGCAACAAGAGCCUCUCUUACUAAGUGGAUAUUUUUCAUAUAUAAAAUGAAGGUCCCGCCCACCUCCUUUCAUCAUGCCCACUUCGUAGCACUUCCUUAGUCGGCAUGCCUGGCAGCUCUUCCUGCGAUUCCUGUCAAUCGUGCACUGAUUGGUUGCAGGGCACACGUAGUCAUUGUGGCCUGAAAAUGGGGAGGGAGAGGGAGAAAUCUAUUACUACGAGGCUCCAGUGUUCAGUUCAGAUUUAGGUUAUUUAGUGUCCAGGAACACUCCAUUCCAAUUUUAAAUGGAUCUGUGAUGGAGGAAAUUAAAAGGUGGCGUCUUUGGCUUUGCCAUCCCCAUGGAGACUACUGGUUUCUCUGCAUCAAUAUGGCGAUGCAUGACGUCACAAACAUGACUAAGCCUCACAGAGGAGAUGGAGCUUUGUGGUCUGCACAGAGUGAGGCACUCGAAAAAUAUUUGACAAGCUGUUGCUCGUUUUGUUUCUUUGUUUGCAUUCGUGUGGCAGCUAUUGGUUUGUCCGUCAUGGUUAGAUGCACACUUUUACACACAUCAAUCAUUUGACACUUUCUGUAUUAGAAAAAAGCAGUGCCUUAGGUUAGUUUCUGGGUCAAAGUGCUGCCAUUCUACAAGCCUUAUUAACAGGAAAUGUUUCAUUCAGGGCUGUCGCAAGAUUAAAACGUGAUGAGAUUUCUCACCUAGAAAAAAAACUAAAAAUAAUAUUUUUCUGAUGCCCAUUACAUUGCAAUGUGGAUGCACGUCUCGUGUCACUUUGUGCAUUGGUUCAGCACCGACAAGCUUUAUGUUGAUACAUAUAUUCAACGGCAAACAAGUGAGACCUCUUGUCAGUCAUGCAGUUGCUUUGCUUUGUUGCUUUGUUUGCUUUGUCAAAUUCAAUACAAACGUAACGGUGCCAAAUUGCAUGCGUUCACAGAAAAUCAUCGCAAAAAGCAAUGCUGCUCUUUAACACAGUUGAGAAGCCAGCAUUUCAAGAAAUGCUGCAAACAAUUGACAGACUUACCUGUGGAAAAAAUACACGUCACAAACACCAAAUCUUUGGUGAUUACUAGUUAUUAGUAUAUAUAACAUUUGUAGUUUAUUUGGUCUCAAAAAAUAUGGACAAUGAUAUCAUUUAGCAUCAAUUUCUGUGUCUAUAAAAAUUUCCAAAUGCACCCGCAUUGUUUUGUGACUCGGUUAAAUAAAGUUUGUUUAUUCAGUCGUAUUUUUUUCAUUGCACUUCAAAUCUUGUGUGUCGUCUCACCUCGUGAGUUGGGUGUCUUGUGACACUCUUAAAAAAUAAGUUAGACACUAUUCAUGUAAGAUGGUGUUUCACAUGAUAUGAUGUUCAUGCUCAUGUUCAUUUUAUUUUAAAAUAUUGUGGGAUAUGUAACUUUUGGCACAUUUUUCCCAAAAAUCUUGGUUAACUGGCGUUUGCCUGGUACGUAAUCCACUGUAAUCCAGCUUGUUUUGUACAUUUUCCCACUACUGUGAGCUAUACUAAUGACUGUUUGAUUUGUAGGAAGUUGUCGCUACCUUGGAUGCUUCUCUUGAAGAAGGCCUUGCAUCCCUCACAGGACCACACCCCAUAGUGGUAGCCGGAGGCGUAGUCGCUGCAUACAGCACAGAACCGUGUCUCCUUGGCCAUCUCGAACACCCCAGCGGCUGCGGCGACCUCUGACCCGCCCACAACGUAAGGCUCUGCACUGGUGCCACACUGCUCAUCCCUGGUGACCUGCUGCUGACCGGCUGGCUCGCUGGACCUGGGACAGGAGGCAGAGAAUGCUUGCGAUGAAGACAAAAACAAAGAAACAAAAUGGAAAUGGUGCUUCCUGGACAACUUCACUGCCCUGUCCCACGCCACGAUAUCAUCGCCUCCUCUUCCUCCACCUUUGUUUCACAUGGAAAGGCUGCUCUCAGAAUAUUCAUGCUGCAUUUAGCUGAUAUUCAAAAUGGUGUACGGGCCCCCAUAUUAAUGUACACACCUGAGACUCCCUAAAUCAACAGUGCAGACCAGGACGGCGGCUUUAAAACAAAACAAAACGGCCUAAAAGCAACGUUACGGCGCUUCACUGCUCACCUUAUUAAAUAGGAGUCAUCCCUGUGCCGCUGUGCUCGCCUCGUUCAUCAUCCCUCGCACAUUCAGCUGGACUCACUGGGAACAGUGGAGAGUUUAGAAAAAAAAAAGGAAGCAAAAGGGAUAAACAAAUUAAAAGAUGCAGUCAAAUCGAUGGAGGCAGUGCAUUUGAGCGCCAGGUCACCAUAACACAGCAAACAACGCAGGAGGUCAAAUCUCAUUUCAACAGCCAGUAAUUACACAAUCCACCCUGAAUGACGGAAUAGAUGCUUGCUUUGAAAGAGAUACUGAAUAUUUGUAUUUAGCAUCUAAUAUUUGGAUUUGAACCACAGUUAAAUUCACUUGUACACAAUUGGGUAUGAAUGCAAAUAAAAGCUUUACAGAAAUAUGUUGAGAUUGGAGUUAAAACAGGGGGCCUCUUUUGAAUUGCAGCUCAUGUUUUAGUGGCAUAUUCUAAAAAUGAAAUCAAUUAUCAAUAUCAGGUAACUUGCAUUUUAUAUACACUAAUAACUUGUUUUGUUAACUAUAACAUAAAAUAAUCAUUUUCUUCAGAAAUAUUAGCAGAUAUUGACCUGGACUGGUGUCAGCAUCUUAACGUACAAAAUGUAUCAAGGUGGCCCCAAAUGUGCAGCCAUCAGUGGAAAACGUUUGGACAAAAGCUGCAUUUGUCAGGAGUCCUUGCAUGUUUUGGGUCUACGUGUCAAGGCAAAGCAAGGAAAAAGCCUUGCACUGGAGGAAUCCCAGUAACAAACUGUAAUGUAGCUGUUCCCUGCAUAAACGAUAAAAGUGGUGAUGAGUACCCGCCAGAACGAUUCUCUGCUUGGGUUCAUAUGUUUUGGUACCCCUAUAGGCCUCUGUUGAUACGUGAGCCUUCAAGGCAACUGCAGACCUCCAGCUUUAAAGAGGAAGCGCUCAACAUUUGGCAAAAGCUUCAUUUUCCCAUCUCUGUGCAACAUCUUUCUUAAGUAAACAGCCCCAUUUUCAGAACAUGUCAGGUCAAGUGGAAAACAAGUAGCCCUGAUGAUAUAUAUUUUUUUAUUGCAAGUCCCCAGAGAGGGUGGGGAACAAAUUGAGGCUCUAUUAGAUAACAGGGUAAAUGAAGGGUCCCAACUCACCUAAUUGACUCAUUUGGGGUGCAGUUUAAGCUCUUUUAGCAUUGUUAUGCACCUGCAUUUACAGCUGUCUUCUCGGGUGUGUAUUUAGUGUAAGCUGACCUUGAAUGCACAAGGUCAACAAGUCAAAAGUAAAGUGA